Molecule: long non-coding RNA, 1943 nt
Organism: Brassica rapa (field mustard)
Lineage: Eukaryota; Viridiplantae; Streptophyta; Magnoliopsida; Brassicales; Brassicaceae
Source: RefSeq, a predicted model, not a curated record
UUAUUCAUUUUCUAUAAAAAAAACAACAAUUUAUUCACAAAACAGUCAUAUAACUUAUAUCUUACAAAAGUUUUUUAAAAACUAUAAUCUUGUACAAAUAAUAAUAUGAUAAUCUAUGAAUGGUUUAAAUAAAUAUUAACUAUUUUCAAGUUAUGAUAGCCCUAAUAUCACAAUUUCCAUUUUUACUGUUUUCUUCUUUCAGUGUGAUGUUGCAGUGUGUGUGUAAAGACUUAAAGUGUGUAAGCAACUUACGGACGUUGCUCUGUUCUUGAAAAGUCUUCAUCGAAACGUCAUCGUCUCAUCAUGACUCUCAAGGCUAAAUUCCAAAGGUAAGAACAAAUUCUUGCAUUUCCAGUUACAAACAAAAAAGAAAGAGCAAAUUCUUGCAUUUCCUAUAAAAAACAAUCAAGUUAGAUAUUAGAAAUUCACAGAAAUAAGACAAAAAAUCCAGACGAACUAUUCAGAUUUUCAGGACAAGUUUGAAGCUUUCUAGUGAUAAACAGAACCCAAUUGUUAUUAAGAGUUUGAUAUUUUCUGUUUAAAAGGCUAAAACCUGGCUAAAUCAUUCAAAAUUUUGAAUUACACCAGGAUCACCAUAAGCAAAACCUAAGAGUCAUAUACUUGAAUGACGUUUAGAACGAAACUGGUAUUACACAAUUUUGGGUUUGAAAAAUUACAAGUUUCAUCCCAAAAUUUUCUGGUAAUAAAAAAAAAAAUCACGAUUAAUUGGUAAUCAUAAUCUAACAUCAUAAUUUUCAUUUUUUCCAUUUGUGUUUAGUACCAAAAAAUAAAGUUACGAUUAAUUGGUUAGGCACUUCACUAUAAGCCAUUAUCAACGUUUGUUUGCAUAUAGCAAACUUUUGACAUUGGAAAAAACUAUAUGAACUAGUUAGCUAAGUUGUAAAAGUCAUAGUCCGCAUUAUCUAAGUUGUAAAAGUUAAGAUGGUUUCACAUGACUAUAGUUGAUUAAGCUUUUGCCAAUAAUUAUUUCCAGACCAUCGAGCAACCCUAUGAGAAUCUGAUCAAUGAUAAUGCCAAAACUGAUUUUCCGUCAUGCCAAGUAUUAUAUAAAAUUUGUCUUGCCGGGAGAACAAGAAACGAAAGCCACAAACUUUGUAAUCGAAGGACACGAAAACAUUGAAGGUAAAGUUUAAAACAUGUGUAAAAGAUAUGAGAUGGGCCAUAUGGCUGGUUCGGGACAUAAUCCUACCGUUGGAGAGGAUUGAGAGGCUGAGAAGAAGAUAGAGAUAAGAGAUUAUGUGAAGACAAACUCUUCUUUCAAUUCCAUUAAAAAGAAAGAUAUUUUAGAAGAGAACAAAUACAAUUUUUUAAUACGUACAAACAUGGGAACAUAGACGUGUCGUUAAUAUUCUCUUAGGACAAUUAACGUACGUGUGGACUAAAACUGAGUUGAAAAACAGACAAAUGUAAUUAAAACCAUCUUUUUCAUUUGAAGAUGAUGCAUGCACUACACAACAUUGUAUUGUAUGGUCCCAUUUUGUUAUCUUUUAACCGACUAACAGGUUAUGGAUGGAUCUAUGGAUUGGUAUAUUUUUUGGACGAAGUAACCAUGUAAUUCACCGGGACAGCCUACUUCAUCAUCAUCACUUUCAUCCUUCUCGCCGAAGACGAGAACCCGGUUCAUUCGGGAUCUGAAGAUGUAACGGAUGUCGUUUCGAUGAUAUUCAGAGGGAUAUUAAUGUCACAAUUUAAGGUGGCUGAAUUUCAAGUUUCUGGCGGUGCCAUGAACCUUGCUUUGACGCAUUUGAGCUUUGCUUUGAAUUCGCUGUCUUUCUAUCGUAGAGGCCUCUUUACAUUUAUCUUGUAUGCUUUAUUGUAUUUGGUUGGAACUCUCCGAAUGUUUAAGAAGUAAUGAAAGUUGUGUGUCAAAAAAAAAACAUGUAAUUCAAUUUGUGUUCAAAAAUAUACUUUUUCCAACGCGA